CAGCAUGUAGGAUCUUAGUUCCCUGACCAGGGAUCGAACCAGCUUCCCCUGCUUUGGAAGUGUGGAGUCUUAACCACUGGACUGCCAGGGAAGUCCUGAGCCUUUUAUGUACUCAUUUUCAAGGUUACUGGUUUGUCUUCUCAUCCACAGCAGAGUUCAAAAUGAGCACAGAUUCCCCACAGAGCAAGUGCUAUGAACAAUGCAGCAGAUCAUCUGCCUCUGGAUUUUCUUUCUACUGUCAGGAAGUCUCCUUCUCCAUAUUUAGGAAAAUGGAUGCCUACAGCCACAGAUGCAGAUCCUCCCGGUGGCUACUGUGCCAACUCUCAUUGCAGGUAGCUAGUGAUUUCAAGAGCUGCAGAGUCGAGGCUGAAGUGCUCUGUCUGUGGAACACAUCUCAGCAUAUGAUGCAUUUUCAGGAAUUCAAGAGGUAUCAAAAGGAGACAAAAUGUAUGUUAGGACUCAGGCAUCCAUUCCAUUCUUCCAUUAUUUCCAAGAUGAAGGAGCAAGAGAAUGGAAAUAGAAGGUCACAGCACCUGGAACUGGCAGCACAUCACAGAGCAGGCACAAGACUAACAAUGGAACUAUUCUGGGCAACAUUGUCAUUAAGAGACACACUACAAUUUCCAAAGAAUGCUUCUUUUUGAAACAAGG
Globicephala melas (long-finned pilot whale) is the source of this 651-nucleotide non-coding RNA. The record is from RefSeq and is a predicted model, not a curated record. NCBI's taxonomy places the organism in Eukaryota, Metazoa, Chordata, Mammalia, Artiodactyla, Delphinidae.